Long non-coding RNA from Equus quagga, 2701 nucleotides. RefSeq lists it as uncharacterized. The transcript is spliced from 3 exons. The record is from RefSeq and is a predicted model, not a curated record. Lineage: Eukaryota; Metazoa; Chordata; Mammalia; Perissodactyla; Equidae.
GUGGGACUUCCUGGGAGAAGGUGAAAGGUCCUGACCUCAGGCCAGGGCCAGCGCCCCUGUGAGCACUGAUCCGGGAGCAGAUUACAAGGGAGACUGGAGCCAAAUCAGCUUUGAAAAAGAGCCGGUUCCGGGUGUGAAUGGGGAUGAAGAGGAGAGAAGAGCUUCCUGACCUCCAGGGCAGCACAUUCCCGGGGGUGAAAGAGACAGUAAACAACCCUAGACCAGAAGCUCCGUGGGGACAGGGACUCUUGUCUGCUCUGUGCCAUGCUGUCACCCCAGCGCUUAGCAGGUGCCUGGCGCGUGGGAGGUACGCACUGCCUCGAUGUCGAAUGUGGCACCAGGAUGUGGGCCCAGAACUCCCAGACCCGAGACCGAGGGGUGCGUAACAGAGAAACGGUCCACCUCAUCUGUCCCACCCCUGCUCCCUCCCCAGAUGAUUCCCUCCCAUCCAGGAGCCUCUGCUCCACGUGGACGGCCCCCUGCUGCCUGGAAUCCCUUCUCUGCGCAGCCCACACACUCCCUGAGCUCUCCACUGCUCUCUCCUUCCUGAUGAGGGGCGGCUGGAAGAAUGCUGACAGAAUCCAUCCAAGGAAAUCUUGUCGGACGCCUGCAGCGCUUCGAGCUGGAUGUAAGGACGGGGGUGCUAGGAGGUCGACAUGCGCCGCUCUGCCCCCAUCACUCCAUGCAGCCCACUGAGGGCCUCGGCAGGGGCAGGUGCCUGCUGGCCAGGAUGCUGGCUGGACACGCGCCUGAAAAGACACAGUUGUAUUCCUCACGACUCACGUGUAGUUGGCCCCAAAACGAUUGCUCAUGAGCUCAGUCGUAUCUAAGUAGUCAUUAAUUUCCAUUAGAGUUGCUGGAGAGAGCGGCAGGGCUUCUAUUAAGGGAUAAGUUUCCAGCCUCAAGCUGCUAAUCAAUAGAACGAGUGCGUCAUUACACACCGCAGAGCUCCGUGAGCUCGUUCGUCACGCCAAUAAAACGACGCGGCCCUGACGCAGCGUCGGAGUCAGGGGCUGGCCCGCUGGUCUGCGGCCGUGCAAGCUGGGGCCGAUAGCAGGAAGCCCGGAGCACGUUUGCUGAGCGUGCAGACCAGUGGGGUUGAGGGUCGUGGGGGUGCUGCUGGGAGGCAGCCCACGGGACUCGGGGACUGAUCGGAUGUGGGUUUGAGGGGGAGAAAGGCGUCAAGGACGACUCACAAAUGUCUGGCCUGCACAUCUGGGGACAGAUGGACAACGAUGGCCGUCACAAAUCGAAGCCAGAGGACAGGGCUGGCCACACCGCAGAGAGCCAGAGAUCAGAUCUGCUGGAUGGCUUUGUGCAAAUGCUGUCACCUCUCUGAGCCUCCGUGUUCUCAUCUGUCAGAAAGGAUUCAGAAUCUCUGCCUCGACAGCACCUCUGCGAGUGAGAGCAUGCAUUGAAAAGUUCAUAACACCGUCAACUUAAGAUUCAUGCUUUUAAUAAAUUCUGACUUAAAUUGAAUUAGCAUGGCCCGACUCUUAGGCACUGGGCACAGAGUGGGCAAGGACUCAUGUGGCUGUGCAAAUUCUGCUUGUAUAAGAAACACUUACGAAGUGCCCUUGGUGAUGCAGUCACGUCUCAAGAGGGCUUAGACCCUCCCUGCUGGGGUCAGAGCUCCCCCACUGGACUGGGGACACCAGAUGCUUUUAUACCAGCCCCACUGUGCUUCCUUCUAACCAGCCUGGGGAGGAGUGGCCCUCACAAAGGGUGGCCACAGACAGUCCACGUUCACAUCAAUGUAAGGAAUGGAAAACUGGCCCAGGCCUCAGGACCUACUGGUUCAUUCAAUUACUCACUCACUCAUUCGUUCACUCAUUCUUCUAGUCACUCAUUCAUUCAUUCACUCCUCCAUUUAUUCACUCUAGUUAGGCAGGACGUGAAAAACAAGAACAAAGACAAAUAAAACUAGAAUAAAUUGCCUAUAUGUUAAGAAGAAAACCAACAAGGGGCUGAGAUAGCAAAUGACAGGGUCCCCACUUUGGGUGAGGUCGUCAGGAAAGUCGGAGGUGGUGACAAUCCAGCUGAGACCUGGACCAUGAACAGGAGGGCUCCGCAGGAAGCGGGGAGGGCAGGAACUCUGGGAAGGGGGAAGAGCACUGGCCAAGGCCCUGAGGUGGGAAAAGCUCAGUGUACCUGAGAACUGAAGUGACAGGGGCUAGAGUGGUGAGAUGGCGCUGCGGAGGGGGCCUGAGCCCGAUCUGCAGGAGGGGAGACUGGAGGACGGGGCAGGCUUGAGGUGAAUGGGACGGGUCACCCCCUCUGCACACCUGCGGAGGCCCCAGAGCCAGCCCCUUCCUUGGGUCCUGGGUAGAGAGGACAGGGCCACCUGGGAAUCCAGAAGCCUCUGCCCCAGCCCCCAGGCCUCCAGAUGGGACCCUCCAGCUGGCCUGGGCACGGGACCCUGCAGGGCUUGGGUGAAGCGAGACCUACCAGCGGCAGCUCCAGUCUGCCCUUCCCGAAUGCCCUUCCAAAACAGCUGGGUGACACCAGAACCUCGAAAUCCUAUUGGGGCAGCUGGAGGCAAACACAGCAGUGGCGGAUCAUACCACGCAGAGAGGGCUCAUGCGCGAGGGGCCAGAGGUCCCGCAUGCCCAGCCAAAGGCGCAGUCAGGAAAAUUAAGACAGAAGUCCCACCUCAGCCCCACAACCCAAAUAUUUCAUAAGAACCCUCCCUUCCCCUUCU